GUGAGGAAUCUUCCACAAUGGGCGAAAGCCUGAUGGAGCAACGCCGCGUGAAGGAUGAAGGUCUUCGGAUUGUAAACUUCUUUUAUGAGUGAAGAAUAUGACGGUAACUCAUGAAUAAGCACCGGCUAACUACGUGCCAGCAGCCGCGGUCAUACGUAGGGUGCAAGCAUUAUCCGGAGUGACUGGGCGUAAAGAGUUGCGUAGGCGGUUAUGUAAGCGAAUAGUGAAACCUGGUGGCUCAACCACACAGACUAUUAUUCGAACUGCAUAACUCGAGAAUGGUAGAGGUAACUGGAAUUUCUUGUGUAGGAGUGAAAUCCGUAGAUAUAAGAAGGAACACCAAUGGCGUAGGCAGGUUACUGGGCCAUUUCUGACGCUAAGGCACGAAAGCGUGGGGAGCGAACCGGAUUAGAUACCCUUGUAGUCC
RNAcentral lists this ribosomal RNA (427 nucleotides) under uncultured bacterium. RNAcentral's name for it is "partial 16S ribosomal RNA". It matches the Rfam family "Bacterial small subunit ribosomal RNA", at positions 354 to 796 of the family's 1533-position model. The record is from RNAcentral.